This 190-nucleotide unclassified non-coding RNA is filed under the name Glomus sp. RNAcentral describes it as "partial contains 5.8S ribosomal RNA and internal transcribed spacer 2". The stretch from base 1 to 65 matches the Rfam family "5.8S ribosomal RNA", at positions 84 to 154 of the family's 154-position model. The record is from RNAcentral. Lineage: Eukaryota; Fungi; Glomeromycota; Glomeromycetes; Glomerales; Glomeraceae.
GUGAAUCAUCGAAUUUUUGAACGCAAAUUGCACUCUCUUGGGAGAGUAUGCCUGUUUGAGGGUGAGCCUAAAAACAAUCGACAUCGUUGCUGUUUCGCGGUGGCGUUCGGCGGAACUUGGGUUAUCUUAAAUCUUUGGUUUACGCGACUUAAAAUUUUCUUUACAAUUACAUGACCGUUUCCAAGAUAUA